Small RNA from Cloacibacterium normanense, 107 nucleotides. It matches the Rfam family "Flavo-1 RNA". The record is from Rfam. Lineage: Bacteria; Pseudomonadati; Bacteroidota; Flavobacteriia; Flavobacteriales; Weeksellaceae.
CGUUCACCGCGCUAACGAUGGAAGCGGCAUCCUUUUUUAAAUUUUUUGCCUCGGAAAAUAAGUUUGGAGAAAAUUUAAAAAAGAUAUAGCGGACAGCGUGUUAAAGC